This 523-nucleotide small RNA is filed under the name Pongo abelii (Sumatran orangutan). RNAcentral describes it as "processed transcript". Lineage: Eukaryota; Metazoa; Chordata; Mammalia; Primates; Hominidae. The record is from RNAcentral.
GCUAUGCAAAGACAGCAGGAGCCGUGCCUCAAAAAGGCUGAGAGGUCUGAGAAAUAAAUUUGUAUGCGGAUUUACGCCUGGGCAGGUUGAAAUGCGUGUGCCAUGACAGUUCCGGAAGCUUGUCUACUCGAAGGUCCACAUUCAGCACCUACCGGGAAAGCGAGAAGAAAGCAAAGGGCAUCACUCCCCACCCACGAAAGACUCACAACAUCCCUGGAAAAGCAAACGAGGCGAACGGCUGGUCUGCGUUCAGAGCUGGUGAGGAGCAGGUAGAAGAAUCCAGAGCAUCCCCGCCUCCCUCCCUCGCCGCCCUCCUGCACUGAUGCGAACACGGGAGGAACAGCGCGCGUGGGGAAGCCGCAGACUCCCAGAGCCCGGCCCGCUGCAGCAGAAUCACCCAAGACUGAGAUCCUGCGGCCUGAGUUGGGGCCGGGGAAACCAAGCCUGCAGGACUGCGGGAGCAGCUGGUUUCUGCACACAGGUAACAUGGAACUGGGGGUAAGCAAAGCCACGAGGUCGGCCC